UAGUCUUAUCUACUCCCACAGUCACCCC
This 28-nucleotide non-coding RNA is filed under the name Homo sapiens (human). Lineage: Eukaryota; Metazoa; Chordata; Mammalia; Primates; Hominidae. The record is from RNAcentral.